This 219-nucleotide unclassified non-coding RNA is filed under the name fungal sp. RNAcentral's name for it is "partial internal transcribed spacer region". The stretch from base 1 to 46 matches the Rfam family "Eukaryotic small subunit ribosomal RNA", at positions 1786 to 1831 of the family's 1831-position model. RNAcentral also lists the same sequence under 1 other name. Lineage: Eukaryota; Fungi. The record is from RNAcentral.
AAGUCGUAACAAGGUUUCCGUAGGUGAACCUGCGGAAGGAUCAUUACUAAGUAACGGAGGCUUCGGCCUUCUCACUACUUAACCCAUGUCUUUUGCGUACUAUUCGUUUCCUUGGUAGGCUUGCCUGCCAUUAGGACACUUUACAACCUUUUGUAAUUGCAGUCAGCGUCAGAAAAACUAUAAUAGUUACAACUUUCAACAACGGAUCUCUUGGUUCUG